AGGGUUGUGGCCAAAAUGGUAAGGCAACGGACUUUGAUUCCGUAAAGUGCUGGUUCGAGUCCAGCUAAUCCUA
Molecule: transfer RNA, 73 nt
Filed under: Lactobacillus xujianguonis
Lineage: Bacteria; Bacillati; Bacillota; Bacilli; Lactobacillales; Lactobacillaceae
Rfam family: tRNA
About the family: Transfer RNA (tRNA) molecules are approximately 80 nucleotides in length. Their secondary structure includes four short double-helical elements and three loops (D, anti-codon, and T loops). Further hydrogen bonds mediate the characteristic L-shaped molecular structure. tRNAs have two regions of fundamental functional importance: the anti-codon, which is responsible for specific mRNA codon recognition, and the 3' end, to which the tRNAs corresponding amino acid is attached (by aminoacyl-tRNA synthetases). tRNAs cope with the degeneracy of the genetic code in two manners: having more than one tRNA (with a specific anti-codon) for a particular amino acid; and 'wobble' base-pairing, i.e. permitting non-standard base-pairing at the 3rd anti-codon position.
Source: Rfam by way of RNAcentral